AGUGAACGCUGGCGGUAGGCCUAACACAUGCCAGUCGAACGGCAGCACAGUAAGAGCUUGCUCUUACGGGUGGCGAGUGGCGGACGGGUGAGGAAUACAUCGGAAUCUACUUUUUCGUGGGGGAUAACGUAGGGAAACUUACGCUAAUACCGCAAACGACCUACGGGUGAAAGAAGGGGAUCUUCGGACCUUGCGCGAUUGAAUGAGCCGAUGUCGGAUUAGCUAGUUGGCGGGGUAAAGGCCCACCAAGGCGACGAUCCGUAGCUGGUCUGAGAGGAUGAUCAGCCACACUGGAACUGAGACACGGUCCAGACUCCUACGGGAGGCAGCAGUGGGGAAUAUUGGACAAUGGGCGCAAGCCUGAUCCAGCCAUACCGCGUGGGUGAAGAAGGCCUUCGGGUUGUAAAGCCCUUUUGUUGGGAAAGAAAAGCAGCAGGUUAAUACCCCGCUGUUCUGACGGUACCCAAAGAAUAAGCACCGGUUAACUUCGUG
RNAcentral lists this ribosomal RNA (492 nucleotides) under uncultured bacterium. Its description in RNAcentral is "partial 16S ribosomal RNA". It matches the Rfam family "Bacterial small subunit ribosomal RNA", at positions 29 to 507 of the family's 1533-position model. The record is from RNAcentral.